AGGGUUGUUGGACUCGUGAGUUCCUGAGGUAUUUGUGUCGUGCGCUGUGGGGGGACACCCGGAGACCAGUGACUCGGCUUCACUCAGUCGCCUUUCUCCCCCGUCUGUGUCCGCGCCGGACCCGGUGCCAUCUCUUUAUCCACGCUCCAGUGACACAAGAUGCCCUUCAAUGGCGAGAAGCAUUGUGUGGGCGAAGACCAGCCGAGCGAUUCAGACUCUUCCCGGUUUUCCGAAAGCAUGGCUUCCCUCAGUGACUAUGAGUGCUCCAGGCAGAGCUUUACAAGCGACUCCUCCAGCAAAUCCAGCUCCCCUGCUUACAUGCCUGUUGUAUUUUAAAACUUAGAAAUGAGUGAACAUGAAGUACUAACUUCCCUUCUUUUCUAGAUGUACCAGAAUGGCACUGCCAGGGCACUGCAGCUGUCUUGUACAUGCGCUCAGCAGUAAAUAGCCACCAACGUCUAUAAUCUGCCCAUUUUUAUUUUUAUCGCUGUCUCUGAUCUGCUUUGGUCUGACUAUAAAUCAGGUCUCCCAGCCCCACCUGUCUUCUCUCUCAAGUAGCGGAAAGCUACUCCUUCUUGAGAUCUGUUUUUGAGCCACAGUCAAGGAUAAAUUCAAAUCUGUCCUUUCUGAUUUACAUGGGGGGAAACUUGCCCCAACUCAAGGGUCAGGCAGGAAGUGAAAUAAUCUAAAGGGUUUCCUGCUGAUUUCAAAAGCCAUUGUGCAAAUCUCCCCCAGAAAAGUGCCCAGGAGGAGAAUUACCACACUAGGGGUGUAAGAAGGAGUUAAAAGAGUGGCCUUGGUGAAGGGGGAUACCUUUUUCCUUUUCUGUGUGUGAAAGCUAGAGGCGUGUGAAACAGAUGUGGGUUUUUUUUUUUAGCUUUUUAAUUGGCAUUUUGUGUAGGAAAUAUAACCCAUUAAACUGCCAAAGCAAAUGCAAAAAGAAGCAACUGAUGUUUAGUAUGAUUGAAUGCCCACUUCAAAAAAAGUUUGUUCGUUUGUGUUUAUUUGAAAUGUGUACAUUCUCAUUAAAAAAUGAGAAAGUCAGAGUUCCCAUCGUGGUUCAGUGGUUAACAAACCCAACUGGUAUCCAUGAGGAUGCAGGUUCGAUCCCUGGCCUUGCUCAGUGGGUUAAGGAUCUGGCGUUGCUGUGACUGUGGUGUAUGCUGGCAGCUGCAGUUCCAAUUCCAUCCCUAGCCUGAGAACCUC
This 1206-nucleotide long non-coding RNA is filed under the name Sus scrofa (pig). Its description in RNAcentral is "lncRNA (ENSSSCG00025021094.1)". Lineage: Eukaryota; Metazoa; Chordata; Mammalia; Artiodactyla; Suidae. The record is from RNAcentral.